Molecule: non-coding RNA, 45 nt
Filed under: Schistosoma margrebowiei
Lineage: Eukaryota; Metazoa; Platyhelminthes; Trematoda; Strigeidida; Schistosomatidae
Source: RNAcentral
AUCCAGCUGAUGAGUCUCAAACAGAAUGAAAUGCGCUUCCUUGAU